UGGGUUGUGGCUCAGUGGUAGAGCACUCACCAGGCACAUGUGAGGCACUGGGUUCCAUCCUCAGCACCAUAU
This 72-nucleotide transfer RNA is filed under the name Marmota monax (woodchuck). RNAcentral describes it as "tRNA.Ala". Lineage: Eukaryota; Metazoa; Chordata; Mammalia; Rodentia; Sciuridae. The record is from RNAcentral.